GAGCGAGCGGCGGGUGUCCCUGAGAGGCCACCUUUCGACCUUCGAGGGCCAGGAGGAUACGGGGAGGUGGCCGGAGGGAGUUCCCGAACACAGGUCUUCCUGUUCCCGCCGAGCAGGUGUUGGCGGUGCCAGGCCCGGCCUGGCGGGCCCGGGCUGGCAGCCAAAUACCCAGCGUCUGUGCUCGGGACGGGAGUGUUCGUCCAGGACGUGCAGCUCCGGAGCCUGCGCGGGCGACCUUGACCACCUUUGUCGGCUGUUUCCCCCUGAGGGAAGUAUACCUGUCCUGCCAGCCUUGGUCUCUGGCAGGGAAGGUCCUUCCAACAGAGAGGGGUGCGCACGAAUUCCUUUUUGCCGCUCUUCUAUUAAUAGUUUGAGAUUUUCCUCCCCGAUUCCUUGCAGAGAGGGCCUGGUCCUCAAGGACCUCGGGAUCUGGGCGCGACGUCCCUUCCCAGCUUCCUCCCGCGCGCACCGGACCAGAUCUUGCUGUCGUCAGCUGGCUGGUACCCAAAGUUCCUCUUCGUCAGGCUGUUCCUUCCCCGUUAGAGUCCUUCCUCCCCAGGAGCCCUCUCCAUCUGCUGACCUUCAAGACCCAGAGCGAAUGCCACUUCAUCCAUGAAGCCUUCCCUUAACCCUUAUCUGGCCAAAAUGUCUCUUUCCUGUGCUUCUGUACUUUCACAAUUUUAGAAAAUGCCUUUGUGGUUAAAAACCUAUCUCCGGGACCGGACUAUCUAGGUUUAGAUUCUGGCUGCCGCUUACGAAUUUGGGCAGGUUUAGUCAAGUUAUUUUAACCUCUCUGUGGAAGUUCCUGCUCUGUGGAAAUAAUAGUAUUUUCCUCAGAGUUGGUGUGGGGAGUUUGUGAGUUAAUACAUUUACGAAGUGGUUAGUUGCAUGUAAGAAGGACUCUCUAAAUGUCAGCUAUUAUUAACAUUGCAUAUCUGCCACACCCUUCAUAGAUGGUAAACUGCUUUUUUUUUUUUUUUUACUUUUAUUUUAGGUUCGGGAUACAUGCACAGGUUUGUUUUAUAGAUAAAUUGCUUGUCAUGUGGGUUUGUUGUACAAAUUAUUUUGUCACCCAGAUAGUAAGCAUAGUACUUGACAGGUAUUUUUUCUGAUCCUCUCCCUCCUCCCACCCUCUAGCCUCAAGUAGGUCCCAGUGUCUGUUGUUCUCUUCUUUGUGUCCAUGUGUUCUCAAUGUUUAGCUCCCACUUACAAGUCAGAACAUGCAGUAUUUGGUUUUCUCUUCCGCAUUAGUUCACUUAGGAUAAAGGCCUCCAGCUCCAUCCAUGUUGCUACAAAGGACAUGAUCUCUUUCUUUUUUAUGGCUGCAUAGUAGUCCAUGGUGUAUAUGUACCGUAUUUUCUUCAGUCUACUGGUGAUGGGCAUUUAGGUUGAUGCCAUGUCUUUACGAUUGUGAAUAGUGCUGCAGUGAACAUACAUGUACAUAUAUCUUUAUGGUAGAAUGAUUUAUAUUCUUUUGGGUAUAGACCCAAUACUGGGAUUGUUGGGUCGAAUGGUAAUUCUGUUUUAAGUUCUUUGAGAAAUCGCCACACUGCUUUCCGCGGUUACUGAACUAAUUUACAUUCCCACCAGCAUUGUAUAAGCAUUCCCUUUUCUCCACAACCUCACCAGAAACCAGCAUCUGUUAUUUCUUGACUUUUAUUAAUAGCCAUUCUGACUGGUGUGAGAUGAUAUCUCAUUGUAGUUUUGAUUUGGGUUUCUCUAGUGAUUAGUGAUGUUGAGUAUUUUAUAUGCUUGUUGGCCAUGUAGCUUCUUUUGGCUAGGGACCUGUGAGUCUCCCUAGGUUUCUUGCACUUACUAAGCCUUCAACAAAUGGUAGAAGAGUCAAUUCUCUUGGUGUUUCAGAAGAAAACAAUAUCACAGCCCCUCUCCACUGGAUAAUACUAUAAAUCUUAAAAUGAAUUUUCAUUCAGAGUAAUAAACACAAGCCAAAGAACUUUGUAUAACAUCCGUCAACUUUUUGUGUUAUCUAUUUCUUUUCCAAAACAUUGCCUCUGGUUUUAAAGGUAACUGCCCACAGUGUUUCACUAAUAACAUUUUAAGCAUUACAAGUUCAACACUGAAGGUCAAAUGACAACGAACUUUCAGUGCUUCCAAAAGCAGGGGCAGAGGGCAACUGCUGAGGGGGGCAUUGUAUAGCCUAACCUUCCCAGAAUUUGAUUUAAAAGUAUGAUCUUCACAGCGUUGGCCAGCAAUAUCAUGGUCACUCCCUACGUCAUUCCCUGGGAGAAAAACAACCCUAGGUUACCUAAACAAUGUUGGCGAAGACCAAAUAUUUAUUAACAUCCUAAGCCGCCCCAUAAUCAAGCCAAUGCUGAUAGGGACAAAGAAGGUGCCAUGUGCAGUUUUUCUCCAUGUCCCCACAAUAUCUGCUCUGAAUUUUAAAAGGCAAUUACUGGGGGAGAAGGAAGCCUAUAUAUUAUGUAGGAUCCAAGUCUCAAACUGCUUUCCUAGGGAGUGUGAGGUUCUUGGAGAUUAAGUGCAGUACCUUUCUGUCUUGAGCCUUGUAGGCUGCCCCUCUAAUUUAAUGCCAGUCUUGAAAUAAACAGAAUGCUUUCCAAGUCAUCGCUAAUUUUAACACUUUAAAUUUAGAAUUGCUUAGAAUUGACUCAACACUGCCUCCUUGCUGAAUGGAUAAUUCAAGCAAACAACUCAAGAGCUGGAUGCUGCCCAGACAGAAGUCCUCCUAGCAUCUUUCUUCUGCCUUCCCCUGCUCCUGUCCCUGAAACCUUUUCUUCAAAAGAAGUGGAAAAGAGGAACUGGGAACCCAUAUAGCAACAGCAUCACCUGGAAUGAAUUCCUUUAGAACAUACUGUCUUGGAAAUCUGAAGCCUGCAGGGCUGGACAGGCAAGAAGAGCAGUGAGCACUGCAUGAACCUGUAAGUAAAUCUGCAUGUGGAUGGUGUUUUGGGUUUUUUUCAGACAGAGCCUUACUCUGUUGCAUAGGCUGGAGUGCAGUGGCACGAUCUUGGCUCACUGCAACCUCUGCCUCCUGGGCUCAGGUGAUUGUCCCACCUCAACCUCUCAAGUAGCUGGGACCACAGGUGUGCACCAACAUGCGCAGCUAAUUUUUGUAGAGAUGGGGUUUCGCCGUGUUGGCCAAGCUGGUCUCGAACUCCUGGGCCAAGCAAUCGGCCUCCCAAAGUGUUGAGAUUACAGGCGUGAGCUACUGCACCAGGCCACACAUGCUUAUUUUACUCAGUCUUGCCCCUGAAUACCCGAAGGUCUAAACUUAGGAAAAAGUCAGGGGAGGGAUGAGUUUGUCAUUCUUUGGAGUCGUUAUAUUUGGGUGAGUGCUGGCACUAUGGGUAGGAUAUUAUUUAGAAGCUGAGUUGUGUGCUGAGCAAAUGUUUCUUUAAAAACCAAAGCCGUAUGAGAUCUGUUAUAGAGGCACAGUGUGGCUAAAUAGUGUGCGAUAAGAUAAGCAUAGGGCUCCUGAGGUGUUGCUGUUCUCCCACUGUAAUGAGUUUACUCUUCUUCCUAAGGAAAGUGAUCCUUUAUCACCUCUCCUCUCAAAUUCACUGGCUUGUUUCGUGAGUGUGCCUUCAUGGAAUCAUGUCUCCUUCUCUUCCCUCAGUUCUCUCCUUCCCUCCCUUACGUAUGACUCCUCCCAUAAUCCGCACACAUGGAUUGAACCAAGUGAGGGUAUUUUUCUGUUUCCUACCUCAUAGAAGGGCAUAGAGUGGACACGGUCUAAGGUUAGUUCCUGAACUGAGUACCCACAUAUGCAGAACUUUAUUUAAAGCUGCUGAAAUCUUUGUAUAACAGAUAGAUCAAUAGGACUGAAAACUACUGAUGGUUUUACUUACUUGUUGAACGUGACUAAGUUCCAUGGCACCAUUUAGAAAUUGUGUUGUAUAGUUUUCGUAUGUUGCUUAAGAAACAGUUUAGCAUAAUGGUUAAAAGCAUGGCCUCUGGAACUAGAUUGCCUCUGUAUGCCUCAGUUUCCUCAUCUGGGAAUAAUAAUAGUUCUACCUCAUGGGAUUGCUAUGAGGAUUAAAUGAUUUAAUUUAAUUAAAUGAUUUCAUACAAAACUGAAUUGUACUUGACACUUAGUACUCAGGUAUUAACUGGGACCGUUAUUAUCAUCACAGAUGUUGUUUACAAGCACUUGCCUUUGAGAUUUGUUUAGCUUUUUUAUUAAAUUACUAGCGGUAUACUAGAACAGUACGUAGGCUGGGGCCUGGAGUCAAAUUCUAGCUUUGCCUCUUAUAGUUUUGAAACUUUGAGUAAAUUACUUGAUGUGUCUGAGUUUUAAUAUUCUUAUAUGUAAUUUACUUUUAAAAAGAAUUUUGCUUAGUGUUGAUAUACACACAUUUAACACAGUUAUAGAAAUUAUUGUUUUUACUAUUGUCAUAUGAGGAAAUUCGUCCCUGGGUUGCUGUAGGGUGCUAAUGGUUAGGCAAACUCUCUUUGAAGUCUGCCUGAUCUGGCCCCUUGCAGGCAUGUACUCCGAAAUAUUUUUCAAAUGGAAAAGAAAACAGAGAACACAAUUUUCAAAAUAUCUAGAGCCCUCCAAGAAGUCUUUGUAGAGAUCUAUAAAAUCUCAAGGCAAUUUAAAGGUAAUAAGACAACUUUAUUAAUAAUUAAUUAAAAUGUAAAUGUUAAUGAUAGCCCUUUGUAUAGCUAUAUUAUCUUUUUCUGAAGAAUAGAAAAAUGUUUUAGAAACACUAUUCUCUCCACAUCCUGGGGCAGCAGCCUUCUCCAAAGAAACAGAAAGAAGGAAAUGGAUUGCCUUAGCAAAAAAACAAAUGAAGACACUCCAAAUAACAGAAGAAUGGGAAGGCUACAGACCUUGAAGUCAGAAGAAAAUUUCCUCUCCUUGCCCCGUUUCUCCUUAAAUGGAUCACCAGUACAGUCUCUUACUUCUAGAGCCAUGUUAAGCUUUCUUCCCCAAAGUUGUAAUGUCCUUCUUUUGGUUGUGUCGUGUCCUAAAAUCCUACUCUUUGGUACAAGAUGAAGGUAUAUGAAGAGAUAAUGAAGGAAACAAAUUCAAUGUGUUUGCCAAGAACACAGUCUUUUAAAUAACUCUUAAAGGGUUCGUUUAAAACAGUGUAAUAAAUUGUGGUAAUCUAGUACACAAAGCUAGUAGGAACCUCGUUUAUUAAUAAUAUUUCAACAUUGAGCAGUAGAGGGCAGCACUAUCCUUCUUUUGCAAAAUGUUGAGCACUCUUGAGAAGGAAAAUAAAGGCAAAGCUCCUGACCCCUGUGUCUGUGUUUACUUUUACCAUUAAAAAAAAACAAAAAAUUGGAGUAUUUUUAUUAUGGUUUAGGUGAUUAUGUAUAAAGAAUGUCAGAGCCUGCAUUACCUGGAAGUGGUGCACCAGGUAAUGCAAAAAACACGGAAGGUUUGAGGUCCCCCACUCAGGAUAUGGGUUCUGUCUAGUAAAGAUAAACAGUAGCUUGACCCUGGGUAAUCAGAUAGGGUUAUUGUAUGAACAGACCUAAUGCUCCUGCACGUUCUGGAUAGAAGUCAAUCUACUGAAAUAGCAGGAUGUAGUUUUAAAAAAUGUGUGUAACUCAUAUAGUCUUAGCCCUGAUAAGUGCUUCUAAAUUCUUAUUCACUGCCUUUAUUCUGCUGUGUUAGUGUUGCUCUCUGUCAUACGUGGGUCAGGUCAGAACUAGCUCAAAUACAGUAUGUGUAUUAUGACUUUAAGGAGUGGUGUCAGACAAGAUGGGUAAAGAAUGUCUUUCAUGGGACUGCAGUUGGCUAAAUGGCUGUGUAUAAGUAGUGAAAUUGAAGCCUUGUAUGCUCGUCGUCAUUCUAUCACAGUAUGAUUUGAGUUUCCCUAACCGGUAAACAGCAAGAAAAAAUGAUCUGUUAUUUUUUACUAAAGUUACUUGAUGCUCUUUAGCAAGCUGACAGAAUAAUUCUAAUUUUAGCAAAUACAAAACCAUGGUAAUCCUAGCACAUUUGGAUUCUGUUUAACCCUGAAAACUCUUUUGGCAGCAAAUCUUCAAUGCCAAUUUAGAUAAAUCCCACUAGGAAUAAGCACUGAAAGACGUUGAGUCUAGUUCCCAGCUCUGCCAUGUGAAGUUGGGCAAAUUACAGUCUCUGAGCUUUUAUUUCAUCUGUUAAAUGGAGAUAAUACCUCCUAGAUUUAUUAAAAGGGUCAAUUUAGAAAAUAUGUAUUAAAAUGGUUUGAAAGCCAUUUAAGUACCUAAUGAAUAUUUCUAUCACUGUAGCCCAAAAAGAUUCCUGCCUAGAAGACUUUAUGUCUCUUCUCCUCAUUUGGUAUCAUUCUAUUGCCUGAGAUUGUUAAUUAACUUUUAUGUAUACUCAAUAUUUUCUCCCAACUUGGUUGCUAGUUCCUUGAGAACUGAAACCAUCAAUUGCACUUCUUGGUAUCCUCCACAAUAAGGUAUCUAGGUACUCAAAUAUUUGUUGGUUGAUUAAAAACAUAAACCACAAGACAUAAUUAACUCUUUUUAAAAUUGUGGUAAAAAAACAUGUAUUUACCAUCUUAAUCAUUUUUAAGUAUACUGUAUAUUAGUGUUUACUAUAUGCACAUUGUUGUGCAACACAUCUCUAGGACUUUUUCAUCCAGAAUUCUUUUUUUUUGAGACAGAGUCUUGCUGUGUCGCCCAAGCUGGAGUUCAGUGGCACCAUCCUGGCUCACUGCAACUGCUGCCUCCCAGGUUCAAGUGAUUCUCCUGCCUCAGCCUCCCGAGUAGCUGGGAUUACAUGUGCCUGCCACCACGCCUGGCAAGUUUUUGUAUUUUUAGUAGAAAUGGUGUUUUACCAUGUUGGCCAAGACUGGCCUAGAACUCCAGACCUCAAGUGAUCCACCCGCCUCAGCAGCCCAAAGUGGUGGGAUUACAGGCAUGAGCAACUGUGCCUGGCCUAGCCAUUUUCUAUAAACCUGAAAAUAGAUGCCAGAAAAGAAGGUGCCGCUAUAAAAUGCUUUCUUGAGUGAUUUAUGUCUAACAUACAAUUAAACAUUUAUGAGAAGGAAAUUAUCAGGUUAAAAUAUAAACUCACUUGCCAAUUAUUUGAUUUUCAGGAUAUCUGACUUUUGUUAAUUACUGAAAAUAAAGUAUUAUUUCUAAUCACUAUUGGUAUCACAAUAGCAUUUUUAUUUGGCCGGUAUGUGUGAGGCCUGGAGUAUGACGGGAAACUGUCCUAGAAAAGGCCCUUGCAUUGGCUGUAGAGAGUUCUGGAACUCUCAAGAUGGCAAGAUUGUAUUUAACUCUUUUAAAAACAAUGCACCUUUUCAAGCACAGAUUUUCAUCUGAUGUUGUGACCGUCAAUUAUGUCAGAUUUGUUUGAUAUAUUAAAAAAUUGGUUUCUCCUUUGCACAAAAUAAAUUAUAGAUGGAUAUAAGAUUUAAAUAUUUUAAACAAUAUAGGGAAAAUAAUAUAUUUGAAACAUAGUAUUAGGGUAGAAUAGACUUUCCUAAUCAUGGCACAAUCUCAGAAGCUAUAAAGAAAAUAAUUGACUUUGCAUGGCUAUAGACACCAUAAAUAAAUAUGUGAUAACAUGGAAGAAUAUUUGCAACAUGCUUAUUAGUCACAUCUGUUAUAUAGUCAGAGCUUCAUUGUAUUGGUGGAAAAAUUAGGAUAUAAAGAAAUUCAGAAAAGAAUAAAUACAAAUAACCAGUAAACAUGUCCAAAAUCAUCCUCAUUAUAAAAUUGAAACCACGCUGAUUUAUCAAUGUUUACCCAUUAGACUGACAAACAUUUUAAAUGUUCAAAAAAUAGUGUUGAGGGAAAAGAGCAAUGACAUGCACUAUUGGGGAGACUGUCAAUGAAUAAAGCCUUUUCUUGUAUUUUGGUAAUAACAGUCAAAAUGCACAUAAUACCAUUUGACCAAGCAAUUUCUCCUCUAGGAAUCUAUCCUAAAGAAAUUUAUACAAGUUUUCAAAGAUAGGUAUGUAGGCAUACAGUUAUGCAUUGUAGCUUUGCUUUAACAGAAAAAGAGUAAACACAUGUAUUAUUUUUGUAGCCUAAAAAAAAAUCAAGUUUUCAUUGAAAAUAAAAAUGACAGGUUUGAAGCAGGACAGUGGCCAUGGAAGUCGAAUCCACUAAGGCGUGUGUAACAAGUCACCUGCUGAGUCAACAAAAAUAAAUAAAAAUUUUUUAAAAACAGGCUUGAGAGACACUUCACAGGAAUAGAAAAUUUAGAUAGUUUCUAACAAUGACAAUGAAGUAGGACAGGAAAAAGUAAUUCUCCAAAGCAAAGUAUGUAUGUGUGUAGUAACUUAAAACUUCAGAUACUAUGAGAAACUAUUUUUAAAUAAAGAACAAUGUGGUGUGCUACAGUUUAGAGUUGAUCUGGAAAUCUGGGGAGCUAUUGAUGCUCCUUAGUUAAUAAAUUAGUGAUUUUUAAAAAUAUGAAUCCCCAUUAUCCGUAGCAAACUAACGCAGGAACAGAAAACCAAAUACUGCCAAAUACUGCAUGUUCUCAUAAGUGGGGCUGAAUGAUGAAGAACACAUGGAUACAUGAAGGGGAAUAACACACACUGGGGCCUGUCAGGGGUGGGAGUAGGAGGAAGGAGGGCAUCAGAAAGAACAGCUAAUGGAUGCUUGGCUGAAUAGCUAGGUGACAGGAUGAUCUAUGCAGCAAACCACCACGGCACACAUUUACCUAUGUAACAAACCUGCACAUCCUGCACAUGUACUCCUGAACUUGAGAAUUGAAGAAAAAAAAUGAAUCCCACAAUUCUGUAUCCAAAGACCGAGAACAGCUCCUGACAUCGAACAGACAAUAAAUAUUGGCUGAAGGAAUGAAUGAGGAUAUUUGCAUCCGAGUUUUAAUUAGAAUAGAUGUAAAAUUGCCUAAUGAUUAUUACUUGUUCUGCAACAAGUGUUUAAUAGAUACUAGUUCACUACUUAUACGUGUCUAACACAUCACAAAGGUUUAUUUAAAAGAAUUUAUAUAGUGCUUAUUAUAUGUUGGGUACUGUUCUAAGUUCUUCACAAACACUAACUCAUUCAAGUUGUAUAAGUGAAGCAGGUGGUCUAAUUAUUCCAUUUAACAGAUGAGGCAAUUGAGGCAAAGAGCAAUUAAGUAACUUGCCCACGAUGGCACAGCUAGACAAUGGUGGGGAUAUGAACACAGUCUGCCUCCAGGGUCACUUCUCCAUGGUGCCAUAUUGCAUCCCACACGGUAAAAACUUACUAAAUGUAAGAAUGCAUAAAGUGUUACUGUUUUUGAAAUUAUAUUAUGCUUUUGCCCCAGAAAGUCAGAAUAUUUGAUAUCAAAUCAUGUCUAAAAAUCAUUCCCACAACUUCCCUUUGAGGUAGAGCAUAUUUCUAAAAUCAUGUUUUAGUGUAUUACUGGUUUAAUAGUUGUGUUUAAAAAGAACAUGGGAGGUCAUUGUUCCUAUGAUAAAAUCACUGUAUUUGUUUUUUGACAUCAUAUUCAUUUCCAUGACAACACUUCCAAGUUCCAAACACAGAAACAUCUUGCUCUAGAAAUGGAAGAGGCAUAGGGCCUACAGAGAAUUACAUAACAAUGUCAAAAUUGUUUAAAGGGGUAAGGUUGUUUGUGUGUAUUUUAAUCUUUUGCAUAACUAAAGCAAUGAGUCUCCAACUUUUUCAAUCAGGAAUCUUUUUUUUGUAUCUAAGCUUUGUAGGCUUUUUUGUUUUAAGAUGGAGUCUCUGUUGCCAGGCUGGAGUGCAGUGGCAUGAUCAUAGCUUAUCACAGCCUCAAAUUCCUGGGCAAAAGCAAUCCUUCCACCUCAGCCUCCCAAGUAGCUGGAAUUAUAAGCACAACCCACCCUGCUGGCUAGUUUUUGUUUUUUGUUUGUUUUUGUUUUUGAGAUGGAGUUUUGCUCUUGUUGCCCCGGCUAGAGUGCAAUGGCAUGAUCUCGGCUCACCUCAAUCUCCACCUCCUGGGUUCAGGUGAUUCUCCUGCCUCAGCCUCCCAAGUAGCUGGGAUCACAGGCAUGCGCCACCACACCCGGCUAAUUUUGUAUUUUUAGUAGACAGGGUUUCUCCAUGUUGGUCAGGCUGGUCUCGAACUCCCAACCUCAGGUGAUCUGCCCACCUCAGCCUCCCAAAGUGCUGGGAUUACAGGCCUGAGCCACCGCGCCCAGCCAGUUUUUAUUUUAACCUUAGUUUAACUCCAUUCCAUAACAAUACCAGUGUUUCUUUUUUUCAUGAUUCAUUCAUUCAUUCAUUCAUUCAUUCCAUAAAUAUUUAUUGACCACCUACUAUGCGCCAGCAUUGCACUAGGUGCUAAGAAUAACAUGAUGAACAAAAAGACAAAAUCCCUUUCUUCACGGAUUGAAAUCUAAUGGGGAAACAGAUAAUAACAGUAUUGCACAAAUGAAAUACUAAGAUUACUAAACUGUAGCCAUAUCUGAGUGCUACAUAUCUUAAUAAUCUGAGAUUACUAAAUUACAGCCAUGGUAAGUGCCACAUAUCUUCAUGGAAAAAGUCCAUGAAAGCAUAAAAUAGAGGGAAUUAAUCUAGUUGAGGCCAGUUCUUUCCCCCUCAGAAUCUUCCAUCCAGCAUGGAUAGCAUUCCACUUCUAAUUCCUACCCCAGCUAUACCUCUUAGACCUUACAGUUUGCACAUACGACAAAGUUCUGGAGUCCAUGUUGGCAGCCAAUGUUUUUAAGAGAAAAUGGCCCAUUAAAAAUAAUAUUUUUAAUUUAUCGUCUUGUCAUUUUA
This 10638-nucleotide long non-coding RNA is filed under the name Homo sapiens (human). Its description in RNAcentral is "non-protein coding lnc-CNNM1-1:7". Lineage: Eukaryota; Metazoa; Chordata; Mammalia; Primates; Hominidae. The record is from RNAcentral.